CGCAAGCCUGACGGAGCAAGACCGCGUGCGGGAUGACGGCCUAAUGGUUGUAAACCGCUUUUCUCUGGGAAGAUGAUGACGGUACCAGAGGAAUCAGCCUCGGCUAACUCCGUGCCAGCAGCCGCGGUAAUACGGAGGAGGCAAGCGUUAUCCGGAAUUAUUGGGCGUAAAGCGUCCGUAGGUGGUUAUUCAAGUCUGCUGUCAAAGCGUGGGGCUUAACUCCAUAGAGGCAGUGGAAACUGGAUGACUUGAGUGCGGUAGGGGUCGAGGGAAUUCCCAGUGUAGCGGUGAAAUGCGUAGAUAUUGGGAAGAACACCAGUGGCGAAAGCGCUCGACUGGGCCUGCACUGACGCUGAGGGACGAAAGCUAGGGGAGCG
This 377-nucleotide ribosomal RNA is filed under the name uncultured cyanobacterium. Its description in RNAcentral is "bacterial SSU rRNA". It matches the Rfam family "Bacterial small subunit ribosomal RNA", at positions 376 to 770 of the family's 1533-position model. Lineage: Bacteria; Bacillati; Cyanobacteriota. The record is from RNAcentral.